CAGCUCGUACUCUGAAGGAACUCCAUACUGAAUCCUUAUCAGUGAGAGUUCAUCCGGAGUCAGGGAACUGAGGGAUUCUCUCAAGCAAAGUGAAACCUCUGAAGGAGGGGAACGUGUUUAAAUAGACCCCGGGAUCCGACGCACUUAUGAUUUCGGAUCCCCGUUGGCCGAUCUGUAUUCGCCACAUGUCCCACCCACCUUGACAGGCUGUUGGAAACGGCAGGCGGCUGGCAAAGACAUUAUUACACCAUACCUAGAGCCACGUCCUGGCGAGAAUUCCAAAAAGAAGAAAUCUUUUUCAAAAAGACUCCGGUACCAGCAUGCCGAACGUCAAAUAUCUGGCAACCGCCAAGCACGAAAAUCGAGGGAGCAACUUCGGCUGUGAAAAUUUUUUUGUACUUUCUUCAUUCGAAACUCAAACUCAAAAGUAGGGGGACUGG
Molecule: long non-coding RNA, 440 nt
Filed under: Elaeis guineensis (African oil palm)
Lineage: Eukaryota; Viridiplantae; Streptophyta; Magnoliopsida; Arecales; Arecaceae
Description: long non-coding RNA (EGUI_LNC052550)
Source: RNAcentral